GUUCUGUGAUGUAUAAUAAGUUCUGAUUUAGUUAAAAAAAACAUUUCCUACAUACAAAACAUGAGAACGGCAUCUCCGCUGUGUGAAGCCUAACAAGAGCUGAGUGAUGGGUAAAACAUUUCUCACAGUUAGAACAUGUGAAUUUUUUUUGUUUACUAGCUCAUUUGUAGACAUAUAGGAUUCAGAGAGUUUGAAUACUUGAUCCUUGGAAGAUUGCUUCAUAAUCUUGCUUUGUGCAUUUCUGGUUUUGUCAUGUUCUUUGGGAUAAAUUCUGCUCGCGGAAACACCUGAAAGAAAUGUACUGAGAGUUAAAGAAAAUGUGUCACUUUCAGGGAAAACUAAAGUCACCAAAACAACUUGAAGACAUUUUUGUAUAUAGAUCAUACUUCUGAAGCCUCAAUGCUCAAUUCUCUGCCGUUUAGUAAUUAAAUCACUUGUGUUUCCGUCCAUCCAGCCCUAGACACACUCACCCUCGCUCUGACUGACACAGUAUGCAUGAAAAAAAUGGUUUCAUUUUCAAUCAGACAGUACCUUACUUUAAAGGUAUCUAUAGAUUGCAUUUUCA
Non-coding RNA from Pelobates cultripes (western spadefoot toad), 565 nucleotides. NCBI's taxonomy places the organism in Eukaryota, Metazoa, Chordata, Amphibia, Anura, Pelobatidae. The record is from the annotation of a GenBank genome assembly.